GUGUGCGAGGUAGUGUCAGUGCCCCGGAACUGCUUAUUUUCUUCUGAACCUGGUGUACAAGACUGCCCGGAUACAGCUGGCGUCUGCAAUGUUGUAGGCCACAUGACGCUGCCCUUACAACUUCAACUUCUGGAAUGGGACCUUGCCGAAAUUGAAUGGAGUCACGCCCUCGUCGCGCGUUGGAGGAGAAUCCAAACACACGUGGCCUUCUUCUUGGACCUGCCUUGGCUUGAGUUUUACUCAGUUCCAAGGUUCAUCAGAGUGUCUUCCCCGGCGGGGCGGCGGGGCUCAGAAGGGCGCCGCCUCCCUCGCCCGCCCCUCACUGCUGGGAGCUUGAGACUUUAAACGGCGGCCACAGGAAGACAGGCAUUUAGAUACUAAGAACAAAUGCUGGUAUCAAUACAGCCACACGUGCAACAUUUUAGAACGCUCCACCACCACCACCACCAUCACCGCCACCACCACCACCACGACUUCUUUCCAUUGCUGCGAUGAAGGUAUGUGUCAUUGCCCUUAUUGUGUUCGGUCAAAUAUUGCUCGGCGGCGGAGUGGUGUCCAGCCUCGGCCCUGACAGCGUGGGUGAGAUGCGGGCUACUCUUCGGCGGGCGGGAAGCGAUUAAUCACGCGGUCAAUACUUGGAUAGGGGCGUAGCGGACCAAGCGGGCAGCGAGGGAGACGAGCUCGAAGGGAUAAGGAAUUGAAAUUGUUACGGUCCGUUUGGGUUAGACUUCUUGCUAUAUAUAAAACCAAGUGGACAGCAAGGGAUAUGUGUUCAAGAGGAUAAGGCAUUGAAAGUACUACGGUUCGUGUGGGUUAGACUUUUGUAUGGUAUGGUACCGGAAAGUAUUUGCUUGAUAUAAAGUAGCACGAAACCAAUAAAGGAAGAAAGUUAAAGAGAUUGAACGAUUAAAGAAUGAAAUGAAUGAGUGACUGAAAGAAAUAGGGAUGAAAAGAAUUAAAAAAGAGAAAUCAGAAGGAAUUGAUGAAUGAAAGAAAAAAAAGAUCUUGAGAGAAAAGAGAAACGGAAAGAAAACGAAGAAAGAAAUAACAGAGUAGAAAGAAAGAAUGAAUGGCAGAGUGAAUAACUAAAUGGAAAGAGACAAAAAGAAAAAGAAAAAUAGAAGUUAAGAGUUAGAGAAUGGAGGAAGUAAUAAUAGGAGAAGAAAGAGAGUAUUGAUGGAUGAAUAGAUGACUGAAUGGAAGGAAAGAAAACACAGAAGAGAUGGUGAGAGUGAGAGAACAGAAGGUGAAAGAAAAGAUAGACUAGAAGAAUGAGGUUAAAUGUUUGCAUGUCUAUAUUUCUCUGUUUUUCAUUAUAUUGAAGGAAAGAAAACACAGAAAAGAUGGUGAAAGUGAAAGUAAACACAGAAGAGAUGGUGAAAGUGAAAGAAAACACAGAAGAGAUGGUGAAAGUGAAAGAAAACACAGAAGAGAUGAUGAAAGUGAAAGAAAACACAGAAGAGAUGAUGAAAGUGAAAGAAAACACAGAAGAGAUGGUGAAAGUGAAAGAAAACACAGAAAAGAUGGUGAAAGUGAAAGAAAACACAGAAGAGAUGGUGAAAGUGAAAGAAAACACAGAAGAGAUGGUGAAAGUGAAAGAAAACACAGAAGAGAUGGUGAAAGUGAAAGAAAACACAGAAGAGAUGGUGACAGUGAAAGAAAACACAGAAGAGAUGGUGAAAGUGAAAGAAAACACAGAAAAGAUGAUGAAAGUGAGAGGACAGAAGGAAAUAGUGAACGUGAAAGAAAAGAUAGACUAGAAGAAUGAGGUUAAAUGUUUGCAUGUCUAUAUUUAUCUGUUUUUCAUUAUAUUGAUUUUGCUUCAGUUUCUUUUUUUUUAUUUGCUUUUUGUGUCGUGCAUUGCCCCGAAAGGAGGGUCUUAAAUAAUCAAUCAAUCAGUCAGUCACUCAAGUAUUCUUCGUAAAGUCUGCAAGCUUUUUGGCUCCUAUGAUUAGUUUCCCGUCCAGAGUCUUCAUUCUUCUUCCCGAAUAUUUAUCUUGGAGGAGGAGGAGGAGGCGUCACGGAGCGUCCUCACCGCCUGUAGCGAGGGCCGGGCCGCGGGGAGCAGGAUAAACGCGGCGGGCAUGCAGACAGUUUAUCGUCGCUGCUGCCGUACGUCAGGCCGCCGGCGAGGGAGUCAACAAGCGGUUUAGGGGAUAACAUUCGGCUUUUCCUCGAUAAAUAACAACAUAUUCCCCUCGUGUUGUUACCUCCCAUGGUGAUAAACUUGCAUAACGAAUGUAGGUCUCGCAAGAAAUAGGAAUAAUGUUGUCAUCGAUAAAUGUGUUUCUGUCACCUUUGUUUAGUAUCGGUAACAAGAAACUGGUGUAUAUCAUGAGUAUAAUAAGUAGCUGGUGUGGAUAUUGCCAUUUUCUUCAGUAAAGGUAACAUUUAG
Long non-coding RNA from Eriocheir sinensis (Chinese mitten crab), 2395 nucleotides. RefSeq lists it as uncharacterized. NCBI's taxonomy places the organism in Eukaryota, Metazoa, Arthropoda, Malacostraca, Decapoda, Varunidae. The transcript is spliced from 6 exons. The record is from RefSeq and is a predicted model, not a curated record.